Molecule: transfer RNA, 72 nt
Filed under: Camelus bactrianus (Bactrian camel)
Lineage: Eukaryota; Metazoa; Chordata; Mammalia; Artiodactyla; Camelidae
Also listed under: 2 other names
Rfam family: tRNA
About the family: Transfer RNA (tRNA) molecules are approximately 80 nucleotides in length.
Source: Rfam by way of RNAcentral
GAGGGUGUAGCUCAUUGGUAGAGUGCGUGCUUAGUAUGCGGGAGGUCCUGGGUUCAGUCUCCAGUACCUCCA